GUUUCUGUAGUGUAGUU
Molecule: microRNA, 17 nt
Filed under: Corchorus olitorius
Lineage: Eukaryota; Viridiplantae; Streptophyta; Magnoliopsida; Malvales; Malvaceae
Description: hsa-miR-31
Source: RNAcentral